UCCUCGUUAGUAUAGUGGCCAGUAUCCCGCCUGUCACGCGGGUGACCGGGGGUUCGAUUCCCCCGACGGGGAG
RNAcentral lists this transfer RNA (73 nucleotides) under Anguilla anguilla (European eel). Its description in RNAcentral is "tRNA-Asp". It matches the Rfam family "tRNA". Rfam says of the family: Transfer RNA (tRNA) molecules are approximately 80 nucleotides in length. Their secondary structure includes four short double-helical elements and three loops (D, anti-codon, and T loops). Lineage: Eukaryota; Metazoa; Chordata; Actinopteri; Anguilliformes; Anguillidae. The record is from RNAcentral.